Molecule: long non-coding RNA, 196 nt
Filed under: Sus scrofa (pig)
Lineage: Eukaryota; Metazoa; Chordata; Mammalia; Artiodactyla; Suidae
Description: lncRNA (ENSSSCG00070019895.1)
Source: RNAcentral
AGGCGGGGCAAGUGGAGACGGCCACCGCAGGGUUGGCGGACUUGAGAAGGAGCAAAGAUGGCGGAGUGAGGCACGUCGCAGCUCGCUGGCCUUUGGGCCGGGGGGCGGGCGGCCCCCGGGCGCUCGAGUGCUUCUUCUGGCCAGUGCGAGGUAUUUCUGUGUUGUCUCCUGAGUGAGGUUGUCUUGCUCCAAUUAU